GGGCCCUAGCUCAGUGGUAGAGCAUCCGCUUCACGUGCAAAAGGGUCCAGGUUCGAUCCCCAACAUAUCCA
Non-coding RNA from Podarcis lilfordi (Lilford's wall lizard), 71 nucleotides. The record is from the annotation of a GenBank genome assembly. Lineage: Eukaryota; Metazoa; Chordata; Lepidosauria; Squamata; Lacertidae.